GUAGUCAUAUGCUUGUCUCAAAGAUUAAGCCAUGCAUGUCUAAGUAUAAGCAAUUAUACCGUGAAACUGCGAAUGGCUCAUUAAAUCAGUUAUCGUUUAUUUGAUAGUACCUUACUACUUGGAUAACCGUGGUAAUUCUAGAGCUAAUACAUGCUGAAAACCCCAACUUCGGAAGGGGUGUAUUUAUUAGAUAAAAAACCAAUGCCCUUCGGGGCUCCUUGGUGACUCAUAAUAACUUCUCAGAUCGCAUGGCCUUGCGCCGGCGACGGUUCAUUCAAAUUUCUGCCCUAUCAACUUUCGAUGGUAAGGUAUUGGCUUACCAUGGUUUCAACGGGUAACGGGGAAUUAGGGUUCGAUUCCGGAGAGGGAGCCUGAGAAACGGCUACCACAUCCAAGGAAGGCAGCAGGCGCGCAAAUUACCCGAUCCCGACACGGGGAGUUAGUGACAAUAAAUACUGAUACAGGGCUCUUUUGGGUCUUGUAAUUGGAAUGAGUACAAUUUAAACCCCUUAACGAGGAACAAUUGGGGGGCAAGUCUGGUGCCAGCAGCC
RNAcentral lists this ribosomal RNA (551 nucleotides) under uncultured eukaryote. RNAcentral describes it as "SSU rRNA". It matches the Rfam family "Eukaryotic small subunit ribosomal RNA", at positions 20 to 575 of the family's 1831-position model. The record is from RNAcentral.